UAGGGAAACUUCCACAAUGGGCGAAAGCCUGAUGGAGCAACGCCGCGUGUGUGAUGAAGGGUUUCGGCUCGUAAAACACUGUUGUAAGAGAAGAAUGACAUUGAGAGUAACUGUUCAAUGUGUGACGGUAUCUUACCAGAAAGGAACGGCUAAAUACGUGUCAG
RNAcentral lists this ribosomal RNA (164 nucleotides) under uncultured bacterium. Its description in RNAcentral is "partial 16S rRNA". It matches the Rfam family "Bacterial small subunit ribosomal RNA", at positions 355 to 511 of the family's 1533-position model. The record is from RNAcentral.